This 243-nucleotide ribosomal RNA is filed under the name uncultured Actinomycetales bacterium. Its description in RNAcentral is "partial 16S ribosomal RNA". It matches the Rfam family "Bacterial small subunit ribosomal RNA", at positions 88 to 334 of the family's 1533-position model. The record is from RNAcentral. Lineage: Bacteria; Bacillati; Actinomycetota; Actinomycetes; Actinomycetales.
UACUCGAGUGGCGAACGGGUGAGUAACACGUGGGUGAUCUGCCCUGCACUUCGGGAUAAGCCUGGGAAACUGGGUCUAAUACCGGAUAGGAGCCAUUUUUAGUGUGAUGGUUGGAAAGUUUUUUCGGUGUAGGAUGAGCUCGCGGCCUAUCAGCUUGUUGGUGGGGUAAUGGCCUACCAAGGCGGCGACGGGUAGCCGGCCUGAGAGGGUGGACGGCCACAUUGGGACUGUGAUACGGCCCAG